Molecule: ribosomal RNA, 548 nt
Filed under: Sporobolomyces sp. VE-2016c
Lineage: Eukaryota; Fungi; Basidiomycota; Microbotryomycetes; Sporidiobolales; Sporidiobolaceae
Description: eukaryotic LSU rRNA
Rfam family: Eukaryotic large subunit ribosomal RNA
Source: RNAcentral
AGCGGGAAAAGCUCAAAUUUGUAAUCUGGCGCUUUCGGCGUCCGAGUUGUAAUCUCGAGAAGUGUUUUCCGCGUCAGACCGCACACAAGUCUCCUGGAACGGAGCGUCACAGUGGUGAGAACCCAGUACACGGUGCGGAUGCCUGAUGCUUUGUGAUACACUUUCGAAGAGUCGAGUUGUUUGGGAAUGCAGCUCAAAUUGGGUGGUAAAUUCCAUCUAAAGCUAAAUAUUGGCGAGAGACCGAUAGCGAACAAGUACCGUGAGGGAAAGAUGAAAAGCACUUUGGAAAGAGAGUUAACAGUACGUGAAAUUGUUGGAAGGGAAACGCUUGAAGUCAGACUUGCUAUUCGGAGCUUGCUUCGAUUCGCAGGCCCGCAUCAGUUUUCCGGGGCGGAAAAUCGUAAGGAGAAGGUAGCAGUUUCGGCUGUGUUAUAGCUCUUUACUGGAUUCGUCCUGGGGGACUGAGGAACGCAGCGUGCUUUUUGCAUGGGCUUCGGCCCAUCCACGCUUAGGAUGCGGGUGGAAUGGCUUUAAACGACCCGUCUUGA